UUAGUUUUUUUCUAUUUUUUUGUUAAAUUAGAUAGUUAGUUUAUUAGGUAGAAAAAAGUAGUUAGAAAAGAAAAAAAAUAGAUAGAAAAGACAAAACUUAGAAGAAAAUAAGAGAAAAAAAAGUAGAAGAAAAAAGAAGAAGAAGAAGAAGAAGAAGAAAGAGGUGAGGAGGAGAAAGAGAAAAGAAAGAUUUAGAAGAAAAG
This 203-nucleotide long non-coding RNA is filed under the name Hordeum vulgare. RNAcentral describes it as "long non-coding RNA (HVUL_LNC015678)". The record is from RNAcentral. Lineage: Eukaryota; Viridiplantae; Streptophyta; Magnoliopsida; Poales; Poaceae.